RNAcentral lists this ribosomal RNA (440 nucleotides) under uncultured bacterium. Its description in RNAcentral is "partial 16S ribosomal RNA". It matches the Rfam family "Bacterial small subunit ribosomal RNA", at positions 338 to 795 of the family's 1533-position model. The record is from RNAcentral.
CCUACGGGAGGCAGCAGUGGGGAAUAUUGCACAAUGGGGGAAACCCUGAUGCAGCGACGCCGCGUGAGUGAAGAAGUAUUUCGGUACGUAAAGCUCUAUCAGCAGGGAAGAAAAUGACGGUACCUGACUAAGAAGCCCCGGCUAACUACGUGCCAGCAGCCGCGGUAAUACGUAGGGGGCAAGCGUUAUCCGGAUUCACUGGGUAUAAAGGGAGCGUAGACGGCAGCGCAAGUCUGGAGUGAAAUCCCAUGGCUUAACCAUGGAACUGCUUUGGAAACUGUGCAGCUAGAGUGCAGGAGAGGUAAGCGGAAUUCCUAGUGUAGCGGUGAAAUGCGUAGAUAUUAGGAGGAACACCAGUGGCGAAGGCGGCUUACUGGACUGUAACUGACGUUGAGGCUCGAAAGCGUGGGGAGCAAACAGGAUUAGAUACCCUUGUAGUC